This is a non-coding RNA of Pogona vitticeps (central bearded dragon), 377 nucleotides long. NCBI's taxonomy places the organism in Eukaryota, Metazoa, Chordata, Lepidosauria, Squamata, Agamidae. The record is from RefSeq and is a predicted model, not a curated record.
UAGCAUGCUAUGCCUGCGCCUGAGGCGGGGUGAGGGGGGCAGGGUGGAACCAGUUUUUCUUCUUUUCCAAGACACAAGCGGGGAGGAGACACAGCACAAAUGACAAGGCAGGAACCGGGAGCUGCAUUUCCAUCAAGUAAGAGAGCACCUGGGAGGCUGCCUGUCUUUCUUCCCCACCAAGUGAGGCAUCUACCAGUCCUGCUCAGACACAGGGAACCUUCUUUGCCUUGGCCUGAGAAUUUUCAGCUGAAAGCUGAACAUAUUCAAAGCUUCCUGACGAGAGCUGCAUCGUAACUGAAAGAUGUCAUCCAUUCUUAAAGUGUUUGGGAGAGAGGAAAAAGACAAGGACAAGGAUAAAGACAAGGACAAAGACAAAG